AAUCGAAGCAGUGAACUUAAGCCCCAGUAAACGGCGGCCGUAACUAUAACGGUCCUAAGGUAGCGAAAUUCCUUGUCGGGUAAGUUCCGACCCGCACGAAAGGCGUAACGAUUUGGGCACUGUCUCAACAACAGACUCGGUGAAAUUGUAAUUCCGGUGAAGAUGCCGGAUACCUGCGACAGGACGGAAAGACCCCAUGGAGCUUUACUGUAGCUUGACAUUGGGUCUUGGUACUACAUGUACAGGAUAGGUGGGAGGCUUUGAAACCAGGACGCCAGUUUUGGCGGAGCCAUCCUUGGGAUACCACCCUUGUAGUACUGGGACUCUAACCAUAGGCCAUGAAUCUGGUCUUGGGACACUGUCAGGUGGGCAGUUUGACUGGGGCGGUCGCCUCCCAAAAGGUAACGGAGGCGCUCAAAGGUUCUCUCAGUACGGUCGGAAAUCGUACGUAGAGUGUAAAGGCAAAAGAGAGCUUGAUUGCAAGACAUACAGGUCGAGCAAGGAUGAAAAUCGGACUUAGUGAGCCGGUGGUUCUGCGUGGAAGGGCCAUCGCUCAACGGAUAAAAGCUACCCUGGGGAUAACAGGCUUAUCUCCCCCAAGAGUCCACAUCGACGGGGAGGUUUGGCACCUCGAUGUCGGCUCAUCACAUCCUGGGGCUGUAGUAGGUCCCAAGGGUUGGGCUGUUCGCCCAUUAAAGUGGUACGCGAGCUGGGUUCAGAACGUCGUGAGACAGUUCGGUCCCUAUCCGUCGCAGGCGUAGGAAAUUUGAGAAGACCUGUCCUUAGUACGAGAGGACCGGGAUGGACGUACCUCUGGUGUACCAGUUGUCCUGCCAAGGGCAUGGCUGGGUAGCUAUGUACGGAAUGGAUAAGCGCUGAAAGCAUCUAAGCGCGAAGCCAACUUCAAGAUAAGAUUUCCCACCG
Molecule: ribosomal RNA, 924 nt
Filed under: Clostridioides difficile
Lineage: Bacteria; Bacillati; Bacillota; Clostridia; Peptostreptococcales; Peptostreptococcaceae
Description: bacterial LSU rRNA
Rfam family: Bacterial large subunit ribosomal RNA
Source: RNAcentral